UGAUUUCUGCCGGGGUGCCCCACCGAUGAGGGCUGAGAUCACACCCGCAACACCUGAUCUAGGUAGUGCUAGCGAAGGGAGCCCACAUGCAAGCCGU
This 97-nucleotide non-coding RNA is filed under the name Tessaracoccus bendigoensis. RNAcentral's name for it is "TPP sequence". It matches the Rfam family "TPP riboswitch aptamer (THI element)". From Rfam's summary of the family: Vitamin B(1) in its active form thiamin pyrophosphate (TPP) is an essential coenzyme that is synthesised by coupling of pyrimidine and thiazole moieties in bacteria. The previously detected thiamin-regulatory element, thi box was extended, resulting in a new, highly conserved RNA secondary structure, the THI element, which is widely distributed in eubacteria and also occurs in some archaea. RNAcentral also lists the same sequence under 1 other name. The record is from RNAcentral. Lineage: Bacteria; Bacillati; Actinomycetota; Actinomycetes; Propionibacteriales; Propionibacteriaceae.